GUAGGUGGCAAGCGUUGUCCGGAAUUAUUGGGCGUAAAGCGCGCGCAGGUGGUUCUUUAAGUCUGAUGUGAAAGCCCCCGGCUCAACCGGGGAGGGUCAUUGGAAACUGGGGAACUUGAGUGCAGGAGAGGAAAGUGGAAUUCCACGUGUAGCGGUGAAAUGCGUAGAUAUGUGGAGGAACACCAGCGGCGAAGGCGACUUUCUGGCCUGUAACUGACACUGAGGCGCGAAAGCGUGGGGAGCAAACAGGGAUUAGAUACCCUGGUAGUCCACGCCGUAAACGAUGAGUGCUAAGUGUUGGGGGGUUUCCCGCCCCUCAGUGCUGCAGCUAACGCAUUAAGCACUCCGCCUGGGGAGUACGGUCGCAAGACUG
This 373-nucleotide ribosomal RNA is filed under the name uncultured organism. RNAcentral's name for it is "partial 16S ribosomal RNA". It matches the Rfam family "Bacterial small subunit ribosomal RNA", at positions 527 to 896 of the family's 1533-position model. The record is from RNAcentral.